RNAcentral lists this unclassified non-coding RNA (238 nucleotides) under uncultured fungus. Its description in RNAcentral is "sequence contains ITS2". The record is from RNAcentral. Lineage: Eukaryota; Fungi.
AACGCACAUUGCGCCCUCUGGUAUUCUGGGGGGCAUGCCUGUUCGAGCGUCAUUACAACCCUCAAGCCCAGCUUGGUAUUAGGCCUCACCGUAAGGGUGUGCUGUAAAAUCAGUGGCGGUGCCAUCUGGCUUCAAGCGUAGUAAUUCUCUCGCUUUGAGGUCCAGGUGAAAACUUGCCAGCAACCCCAAUUUUUUAUAGGUUGACCUCGGAUCAGGUAGGGAUACCCGCUGAACUUAA